UUUCCGUAGGUGAACCUGCGGAAGGAUCAUUCAUAAUAAAGUGUUUUAUGGCACUUUUUAAAAAUCCAUAUCCACCUUGUGUGCAAAGUUAGAUCUCGUCAAUCUAGGCGAGAUUUUUAUACAUCAACUCAUUCUUUAACUAUUUUGUCUGAUAAAUAUUAUGAAUACUUAGUUCAAAAUACAACUUUCAACAACGGAUCUCUUGGCUCUC
RNAcentral lists this unclassified non-coding RNA (211 nucleotides) under plant metagenome. RNAcentral describes it as "partial contains small subunit ribosomal RNA, internal transcribed spacer 1, and 5.8S ribosomal RNA". The record is from RNAcentral.